ACAAAAUCGACAUUGACUCAGCAGCUGUGCCCACCAGUUUUUCAGUACCUGAGUUCAUCUUGGUUUGCUAAACUGAUCCUUAGAUGCCAGAUGCAGAAUCCCUGGUGGCACUACUAUACAAAGAUUUUUUUUCUUGGUAGGAACUAUCAGAGAUUGAGGUUUUCUGCUAAAGCCUUUGAGAAUCACGCCUCCACUCCAUAAUAGAGAAGAUUUAAACAGGCCCUUACCACUCUUCUGCCUUGUUCCAAGAUGGAAGGAUCUGGAUAAAGAAAAUAAUGGAAUUUUGCAAAAGUUUAUGGUGGUCUCCAGUCCCUGGAUUCAUCUCACUUGUGAAGUCUCUCUUGUGGAGAUGUGGCUCUCUCUCUGGUUCGUGUGGCUUGUGGCAGUGUACUGGACGUCUUGGCAGUUUGGCAGUCAGCAGCUUGCCAUUGAGGUGACUGAAAGAAGCUCUGUAGCGAGGGUUAGGCUGAGACGUCAAAUGGAUAGACUAUGGAAAACUGAACUCAAUGACUCCAUUUUGGCUGGACUUGAUUGCUUUGCCUCAAGCAACAUAACAAACAUUACCAGGCCAUUCCUGUCAAAAAUCUCAACUUUCCUGGGAAUUCCUAGAGGUAACACAUGCUAUAUCUACACAAGCCAAGCAAAGAGAAGAAUUAAGAUAAUGCCUAGCAAGUACCAACUUCACCCAAGACAGUGGCUUGCACAUGAAGGCUUAAUAAAUAAUUGUUUGUUGAAUCAAAACAACAGCCGUCCUUCAGCAUGUUCUUUCUCUGGGUGUGGAUAGCGUACUUCCUCAUAGGUCCCUCAGAAGUGUCCUGGAACAUUGCAUUGCGGUUAGUAGAGAAAUCUAUUAUAUUCAAAUGUAGCACAGUGUAUCUGUCUUUGUGUACAAUUUUUUUAAGGUUAUAUACAGACAUUUUAUUUGUUACUCAGUAAGGGAGAGGGCAAUAUUGGGAUCGAGAGUCCAAGGUAGGCAGGAAGGCAGGGAGAAGGAAGCCAGAUGGGUCCUCUGGGUCUGCUCCAGGAGGGGUGAUUCUGAUUGCUGAGCCUUGUCCAGGUCACACAACGAUGUGAGAGAGGGAGAAGGGGUGGGGGACUGGGACCUAGAUCCAGGGGUACAGUUUAGAAAAGCAUCCAGGACCACCAAGAACCAAGCUGAGUCAAGUCAAGCUGGACCUUGGAUCAUCCCUGGGGUUAUGUGUCCUAAUAUUAUUUUUUCAUUAUCAUUUUUCCAG
This 1235-nucleotide long non-coding RNA is filed under the name Monodelphis domestica (gray short-tailed opossum). RNAcentral's name for it is "lncRNA (ENSMODG00000031282.2)". The record is from RNAcentral. Lineage: Eukaryota; Metazoa; Chordata; Mammalia; Didelphimorphia; Didelphidae.